Molecule: non-coding RNA, 28 nt
Filed under: Homo sapiens (human)
Lineage: Eukaryota; Metazoa; Chordata; Mammalia; Primates; Hominidae
Source: RNAcentral
UAGCCGGGACUGCCGAUCUACAGCUGGC